Molecule: long non-coding RNA, 316 nt
Organism: Alosa alosa (allis shad)
Lineage: Eukaryota; Metazoa; Chordata; Actinopteri; Clupeiformes; Clupeidae
Exons: 2
Source: RefSeq, a predicted model, not a curated record
AAGGGACAUGCUGAAAACCCUAACAAGCAGCAUUAAAGAGGAAGCUGGAUUGUGGGAUAUGGCCACCAUGGCCUUGGUUACAAGCUGUUGGACGUAUUCCAAGGCCUGUUCAUGGCGUGUGCUGAUGCACAAACUGAAGCACUUAAAGGCAGCUCUGAGACAGACAGUGAGCACACCACAAUAAUGCAAUAACUGUAUGUAUUUUUCAAAUUAUUAUUGAAGCAUGCAACAUGUAACUUCAAACAUGCAUGAAUAUGCUUGAAAAAUCAACAAUUUCAUAUGUAGGUGAAACCAUUAAAAUAUUGUUGAAAAUGCA